RNAcentral lists this ribosomal RNA (396 nucleotides) under Dictyocha sp. RNAcentral describes it as "partial small subunit ribosomal RNA". It matches the Rfam family "Eukaryotic small subunit ribosomal RNA", at positions 582 to 975 of the family's 1831-position model. The record is from RNAcentral. Lineage: Eukaryota; Dictyochophyceae; Dictyochales; Dictyochaceae.
AUUCCAGCUCCAAUAGCGUAUAUUAAUGUUGUUGCAGUUAAAAAGCUCGUAGUUGGAUUUCUGAUGGGAUCGACCCGGUCGGCUCCGAAAGGGGUCGCACUGGUGGUCUGUCCGGUCAUCCUCGAGGGGAGGCUUUCUGGCAUUCAUUUGUUGGGGAGUCGACGCUCGUCGUUUACUGUGAACAAAUUAGAGUGUUCAAAGCAGGCUUAGGCCGUUGAAUACAUUAGCAUGGAAUAAUAAGAUAGGACUUUGGUGGUUUAUUUUGUUGGUUUGCACGCCGAAGUAAUGAUUAAUAGGAGCAGUUGGGGAUGUCCGUAUUCGAUUGUCAGAGGUGAAAUUCUUGGAUUUAUUGAAGACGAACCACUGCGAAAGCAUUUGCCAGGGAUGUUUUCAUCA